Molecule: ribosomal RNA, 403 nt
Filed under: Verrucomicrobiota bacterium
Lineage: Bacteria; Pseudomonadati; Verrucomicrobiota
Description: Verrucomicrobia bacterium partial 16S ribosomal RNA
Rfam family: Bacterial small subunit ribosomal RNA
Source: RNAcentral
UGGGGAAUAUUGCACAAUGGGGGAAACCCUGAUGCAGCGACGCCGCGUGAGCGAAGAAGGUUUUCGAAUCGUAAAGCUCUGUCCUAUGAGAAGAUAAUGACGGUAUCAUAGGAGGAAGCCCCGGCUAAAUACGUGCCAGCAGCCGCGGUAAUACGUAUGGGGCGAGCGUUGUCCGGAAUUAUUGGGCGUAAAGGGUACGUAGGCGGUCUAUUAAGUCAGGUGUGAAAGCGUGAGGCUUAACCUCAUUAAGCACUUGAAACUGAUAGACUUGAGUGAAGGAGAGGAAAGUGGAAUUCCUAGUGUAGCGGUGAACUGCGUAGAUAUUAGGAGGAAUACCGGUGGCGAAGGCGACUUUCUGGACUUUUACUGACGCUCAGGUACGAAAGCGUGGGGAGCAAACAGG